Molecule: ribosomal RNA, 2903 nt
Filed under: Escherichia coli
Lineage: Bacteria; Pseudomonadati; Pseudomonadota; Gammaproteobacteria; Enterobacterales; Enterobacteriaceae
Description: 23S ribosomal RNA
Rfam family: Bacterial large subunit ribosomal RNA
Source: RNAcentral
GGUUAAGCGACUAAGCGUACACGGUGGAUGCCCUGGCAGUCAGAGGCGAUGAAGGACGUGCUAAUCUGCGAUAAGCGUCGGUAAGGUGAUAUGAACCGUUAUAACCGGCGAUUUCCGAAUGGGGAAACCCAGUGUGAUUCGUCACACUAUCAUUAACUGAAUCCAUAGGUUAAUGAGGCGAACCGGGGGAACUGAAACAUCUAAGUACCCCGAGGAAAAGAAAUCAACCGAGAUUCCCCCAGUAGCGGCGAGCGAACGGGGAGCAGCCCAGAGCCUGAAUCAGUGUGUGUGUUAGUGGAAGCGUCUGGAAAGGCGCGCGAUACAGGGUGACAGCCCCGUACACAAAAAUGCACAUGCUGUGAGCUCGAUGAGUAGGGCGGGACACGUGGUAUCCUGUCUGAAUAUGGGGGACCAUCCUCCAAGGCUAAAUACUCCUGACUGACCGAUAGUGAACCAGUACCGUGAGGGAAAGGCGAAAAGAACCCCGGCGAGGGGAGUGAAAAAGAACCUGAAACCGUGUACGUACAAGCAGUGGGAGCACGCUUAGGCGUGUGACUGCGUACCUUUUGUAUAAUGGGUCAGCGACUUAUAUUCUGUAGCAAGGUUAACCGAAUAGGGGAGCCGAAGGGAAACCGAGUCUUAACUGGGCGUUAAGUUGCAGGGUAUAGACCCGAAACCCGGUGAUCUAGCCAUGGGCAGGUUGAAGGUUGGGUAACACUAACUGGAGGACCGAACCGACUAAUGUUGAAAAAUUAGCGGAUGACUUGUGGCUGGGGGUGAAAGGCCAAUCAAACCGGGAGAUAGCUGGUUCUCCCCGAAAGCUAUUUAGGUAGCGCCUCGUGAAUUCAUCUCCGGGGGUAGAGCACUGUUUCGGCAAGGGGGUCAUCCCGACUUACCAACCCGAUGCAAACUGCGAAUACCGGAGAAUGUUAUCACGGGAGACACACGGCGGGUGCUAACGUCCGUCGUGAAGAGGGAAACAACCCAGACCGCCAGCUAAGGUCCCAAAGUCAUGGUUAAGUGGGAAACGAUGUGGGAAGGCCCAGACAGCCAGGAUGUUGGCUUAGAAGCAGCCAUCAUUUAAAGAAAGCGUAAUAGCUCACUGGUCGAGUCGGCCUGCGCGGAAGAUGUAACGGGGCUAAACCAUGCACCGAAGCUGCGGCAGCGACGCUGAUGCGUUGUUGGGUAGGGGAGCGUUCUGUAAGCCUGCGAAGGUGUGCUGUGAGGCAUGCUGGAGGUAUCAGAAGUGCGAAUGCUGACAUAAGUAACGAUAAAGCGGGUGAAAAGCCCGCUCGCCGGAAGACCAAGGGUUCCUGUCCAACGUUAAUCGGGGCAGGGUGAGUCGACCCCUAAGGCGAGGCCGAAAGGCGUAGUCGAUGGGAAACAGGUUAAUAUUCCUGUACUUGGUGUUACUGCGAAGGGGGGACGGAGAAGGCUAUGUUGGCCGGGCGACGGUUGUCCCGGUUUAAGCGUGUAGGCUGGUUUUCCAGGCAAAUCCGGAAAAUCAAGGCUGAGGCGUGAUGACGAGGCACUACGGUGCUGAAGCAACAAAUGCCCUGCUUCCAGGAAAAGCCUCUAAGCAUCAGGUAACAUCAAAUCGUACCCCAAACCGACACAGGUGGUCAGGUAGAGAAUACCAAGGCGCUUGAGAGAACUCGGGUGAAGGAACUAGGCAAAAUGGUGCCGUAACUUCGGGAGAAGGCACGCUGAUAUGUAGGUGAAGCGACUUGCUCGUGGAGCUGAAAUCAGUCGAAGAUACCAGCUGGCUGCAACUGUUUAUUAAAAACACAGCACUGUGCAAACACGAAAGUGGACGUAUACGGUGUGACGCCUGCCCGGUGCCGGAAGGUUAAUUGAUGGGGUCAGCGCAAGCGAAGCUCUUGAUCGAAGCCCCGGUAAACGGCGGCCGUAACUAUAACGGUCCUAAGGUAGCGAAAUUCCUUGUCGGGUAAGUUCCGACCUGCACGAAUGGCGUAAUGAUGGCCAGGCUGUCUCCACCCGAGACUCAGUGAAAUUGAACUCGCUGUGAAGAUGCAGUGUACCCGCGGCAAGACGGAAAGACCCCGUGAACCUUUACUAUAGCUUGACACUGAACAUUGAGCCUUGAUGUGUAGGAUAGGUGGGAGGCUUUGAAGUGUGGACGCCAGUCUGCAUGGAGCCGACCUUGAAAUACCACCCUUUAAUGUUUGAUGUUCUAACGUUGACCCGUGAUCCGGGUUGCGGACAGUGUCUGGUGGGUAGUUUGACUGGGGCGGUCUCCUCCUAAAGAGUAACGGAGGAGCACGAAGGUUGGCUAAUCCUGGUCGGACAUCAGGAGGUUAGUGCAAUGGCAUAAGCCAGCUUGACUGCGAGCGUGACGGCGCGAGCAGGUGCGAAAGCAGGUCAUAGUGAUCCGGUGGUUCUGAAUGGAAGGGCCAUCGCUCAACGGAUAAAAGGUACUCCGGGGAUAACAGGCUGAUACCGCCCAAGAGUUCAUAUCGACGGCGGUGUUUGGCACCUCGAUGUCGGCUCAUCACAUCCUGGGGCUGAAGUAGGUCCCAAGGGUAUGGCUGUUCGCCAUUUAAAGUGGUACGCGAGCUGGGUUUAGAACGUCGUGAGACAGUUCGGUCCCUAUCUGCCGUGGGCGCUGGAGAACUGAGGGGGGCUGCUCCUAGUACGAGAGGACCGGAGUGGACGCAUCACUGGUGUUCGGGUUGUCAUGCCAAUGGCACUGCCCGGUAGCUAAAUGCGGAAGAGAUAAGUGCUGAAAGCAUCUAAGCACGAAACUUGCCCCGAGAUGAGUUCUCCCUGACUCCUUGAGAGUCCUGAAGGAACGUUGAAGACGACGACGUUGAUAGGCCGGGUGUGUAAGCGCAGCGAUGCGUUGAGCUAACCGGUACUAAUGAACCGUGAGGCUUAACCUU